CCAUAUCACGUUGAAACACCGGUUCUCAUACGAUCACUGAAGCUAAGCAACGUCGAGUCUGGUCAGUACCGAGACGAGUGACUGCUUGGGAAUACCAGGUGCUGUAAG
Molecule: non-coding RNA, 108 nt
Organism: Acanthosepion pharaonis
Lineage: Eukaryota; Metazoa; Mollusca; Cephalopoda; Sepiida; Sepiidae
Source: the annotation of a GenBank genome assembly